AUGUAGGCGAAGAUGGGAAUAACUGCGAAACCAUUGGAACAGAGAGUGCACGGCUGGUGGAAGUGCAUGCAAGGUGCGCAGGUGCUACCCCGGAGCUGUUCGGAGAAAUCGGAACGUAGGUUGCUGCGUUAAAGCACAAAGAGGAAAGCAGAAACAUCUGCUUUUGAAUUUGGGUGGUACCACGAAGAGCCUUCGUCCCAUAU
RNAcentral lists this non-coding RNA (203 nucleotides) under Ruminococcus sp. RNAcentral's name for it is "T-box sequence". It matches the Rfam family "T-box leader". From Rfam's summary of the family: Uncharged tRNA acts as the effector for transcription antitermination of genes in the T-box leader family. T-boxes are found upstream of many aminoacyl-tRNA synthetase genes and some amino acid biosynthetic genes usually in Gram-positive bacteria. The anticodon of a specific tRNA base pairs to a specifier sequence within the T-box motif, and the NCCA acceptor tail of the tRNA base pairs to a conserved bulge in the T-box antiterminator hairpin. The record is from RNAcentral. Lineage: Bacteria; Bacillati; Bacillota; Clostridia; Eubacteriales; Oscillospiraceae.